This 254-nucleotide ribosomal RNA is filed under the name uncultured bacterium. RNAcentral describes it as "partial 16S ribosomal RNA". It matches the Rfam family "Bacterial small subunit ribosomal RNA", at positions 524 to 776 of the family's 1533-position model. The record is from RNAcentral.
UACAGAGGGGGCAAGCGUUGUUCGGAAUUACUGGGCGUAAAGGGCGCGUAGGCGGCCUUCUAAGUCGAACGUGAAAUCCCCGGGCUCAACCCGGGAACUGCGUCCGAUACUGGAAGGCUUGAAUCCGGGAGAGGGAUGUGGAAUUCCAGGUGUAGCGGUGAAAUGCGUAGAUAUCUGGAGGAACACCGGUGGCGAAGGCGACAUCCUGGACCGGUAGUUGACGCUGAGGCGCGAAAGCCAGGGGAGCAAACGGG